This 207-nucleotide ribosomal RNA is filed under the name uncultured bacterium. Its description in RNAcentral is "partial 16S ribosomal RNA". It matches the Rfam family "Bacterial small subunit ribosomal RNA", at positions 524 to 730 of the family's 1533-position model. The record is from RNAcentral.
UACGUAGGUGGCAAGCGUUGUCCGGAAUUAUUGGGCGUAAAGCGCGCGCAGGCGGCCUCUUAAGUCUGAUGUGAAAGCCCCCGGCUCAACCGGGGAGGGCCAUUGGAAACUGGGAGGCUUGAGUAUAGGAGAGAAGAGUGGAAUUCCACGUGUAGCGGUGAAAUGCGUAGAGAUGUGGAGGAACACCAGUGGCGAAGGCGACUCUUU